GUGGGCGUCACCAAGAGCGCUUAAGAGAAAGUCUGUGUGUGGACCUGUGACUCUACAUGAAUGACUCAAGUGAAGAAACACGAGUGAAACCACUAUUUCAAAGGAAAAAGAAGAGGAAGAGGGGACAUCUUGAACAUUCGCAGUGGAACUUGAGUGCGCAUCUGCGCAAAGUCUCUCCAAAGUCACUUGGUAACUUGCGCGCACCACUGCAGCUCCAUUCUCAAGCAGUUUUGGGGCAUAGACACGACAAUCUUCUCCCGUGAUGGACUGAAAACUGCCGAGGGCUCCCGAAUUUUAGAUUGUGAAAACAAAAUGAUGACAUAACAGAAGAUAAGAGCAGACUGUCGCUUCUGAAAGCCGAGAUGCGGUAAAAGAAGUAUUGUAAAUUGCAUACGGCUGAGACAUGAAACUCAAGCUGACUUCCACAUUGUAGUUUAUUUGAAGGCGCCCCGAUGGCACAAUUGUUCUGCUUUGAGCGAGGAAAUUGAGCAAGGCCACUCAUUUAAGCAGUGACAAGGAAAUACGUAAUGGGCUCAUACAAUGCCCCGAAAAAUGCACUGUACGUGAAUUUUGUUGCCAAAUUACAUGACUAAUAACCCUGUGAACCUGCUUAUUUUUAGAUUAACUUAUUUUUACAAUUACAGCAUGGAAAUGUGUCACUCAAUAACCAUGCAUGUCAUUUAAACUAGAUGAAGCUUUUAUUUAAUAUUAUUUAACAUACCUCGUUUUUUUUUUUUUUUAAGUUGCUUUAGAUAAAAAUGUAUGUUGAUAAAUGUAAAGGAUAAAUAAUUGCAUCGCUGAUCCAAGACGGUCAAACAUGCAGUGUACUGCAAAAUUCAACACAUGACCUUGUAAUCACAACCAUGCUAAGUAACACAUGAAUUAACCGGCCUUCCGGGCUUUUAAGAAUGUGAAUUCUUCAGUUCAAUAACCAUCUGUCCGCUUACAUCUGAGUUGGUCUGUUUGCUAUUCAUGAUUUUUUUUUAUUCCCUCAUUGGAAACUGUCGGGAAGCGCUGCCUAUUUCACUGUGACCUUUAACCUUUUAUUUGUCUCUUUGAAGAACAGCUGCACUAGUCUUACUACACGCAACGUGGGACUAUUUCUGCAGCUCUGGAAAAGCAAAAACUGUUGCCUUUUGUGCAGAAUGGAACAAACGGUUCUUUGUGUUUGCAUUCAUGAGCUACAGUAUUGGCUUUUUUUUUUUCCGUACACCGUCUGUGCAGGAUUCCAGAACAGAUUAUCAGUGAUUGUCAAAGAUAAAAUGCAUUUUCUGAUAGUGCAUUUUAAGCUCAUUUGAUAUUAAAAACAGUUUGCUGAGAGAUAAUAGGGGAGAGAGCUGUGUUUGUGUGCGCGUGGGUUGGUUUCAGCACAGAUGGCACCAGCCAAAAGCAUAGGAUGUUUAAAUGUCAGGCUAAAAUACCAUAUCCUCCACAAAAUAUAGUACAGUCCCGGCCUAAUUAAAUUGACUCUUUUUUUUCUUUCUCUCUCUCUUUCUCUCUUUUUUUUAGUGAAAACCACAACUUUUCAGUUUUGUUUUUCGGGCGUAAUUUGGUUUUAUCUUUAAGCUCAUCAUCUUUGUGUUAAGACAAACAUUCCAGGAACCUCCACUGAACAUCACCAGCGUUAUUUAGAAAGCCUCUCGCUCUGGGCUUUAUGUUGGGUUUUGUUGCAUGCGUCAAUCGCUUCUUCGUAGCUAUCACUUUACGGGCCGUUCUCCGCUAGUAUUGUUUUUGUAUUGUGCACACAUUUGUAAUGCAGAUCGGAUUGCACUAGUAAUGCUUAUCCCAAGUUUAAUAGCAUUAAUUGAUAUUCCAGAUGCAUUGGGGUUGCUUUUAAUGCAUGCGCUUUCAGUACAGAAAUGCAUAUUUUAAUGAAUCCAUCAAUCAUAUUUAAACCUUUUAGUAACCAGUAGAUGAUAUUCUGGGAUUAAGUGAUGUUAAUGUAGCUUUUUAUACUUUAAUUGUGCGAUUUAAGUAUCUCCGCAAGAUAUUUCACGUGGUGAACAGAAACAGAAAAAAUAUCACUGGUAAACCGUAAGAUUAAGAUUGCUUCCUUUGACCUUUAUUACUGCAGAGAGACCAUUUUAAGUCAUUUUCAGGUGAGAUCUGGCUGUUGGCUCGACAUUAAAAACUAAUCUCUGAAUCUCUGAUCCAAAACAACAAGGCAAAGCCACAACAUUGUGUAUAAAUGCAUUCAGUGAGAUUUUAAAUUUCAUCUGCUUACAUUGAGAUCUAAAUGUUACAUUUCAAAAUCCACCUUAGUGGUUUAAUGUGUAUUGUUUUGUGUGUGUGUGUGUGUGUGUGUGUGUGUGUGUGUGUGUGUGUGUGUGUGUGUGUACUCCCACCUGUGGUUCUGUGUGCUGCUUUACUCAGACAGUAGGAGGGCUGCAGACAUUUUAACAGCAGUCUCAUAAACGCUCCUGCAUGAAGCAAAAAGAGCAAAAAAUACCCAGCUGCACACGGUGGACAUUUUAGUGCUUUCUGAAAUGUUGUUAAAAUUGUUACCUCUUGUUUUUGAUGUUCAUUCAAAUUACUUCUUGAGACUUCACUCUGCAUUUGCCAAAGGAAAUGAGCAAGUGGCAUGCCAUCAAAGUUUCCAUGUUUACAUAAACGUCUUGCCUUCACCUAAUGACCUUUAUGCUAUUAAAUAAAUCACUUAUAAAUGCAAAAAAAGUUCUUUAUGGAUAUUUGAACUGCUUUUGGUUAUAUUAUUGAUUAUUAUGGUUGAGCUCCUCUGACAUUUUUCUCAUGCAUCUUUUAGUUGUCCUUUUAGACAAGUCAGUGUUGACUAAUAGAAGAAUGAUAAGGAAUUUAAUUAUAUACUUUUAAAAAUAUGUGGGUAAGAGUGGAUGAGCUGUGUUGAAGGCUGGUCUUGUGUUGACUGUGAAGUUUCAGUAUUAUUGUCAGCGUGUGUAGGUGUAACUUGUUAUCAGCAGUCAAAAACAACGUAUGAUUUUACUCAAACUAUUAGUUUUGGAGUUGUCAUCAUCUGCGUUGCUCAUAACGCUGGGGCUACGGCGAAUUUUUUGCGUCAGUUUUUGGUAAAAACUGUACCGGGUUUGUCAGAUGACAAUGCAAACACGUGUGCAGAAAGAUUAGAAGAGUUUGCACAAAAGUGAAAAAUGUUAUAUUUUGACACUAUAAAGCAUUAAAUUGUGUGAGGCGCACCGCAACAAAAAAGAGCUGCUAUGAAAGAGCUGGAGAUGAGAAAAGUGCUGUAACAUUUGUUUUGAUCUCCUUCAGGAAGAUCUACAUCAGCACUGCCUUCAUGUGUGCAGCACUCACAUCUGAAUUACUGCUUUGAAAUGACCAGUUGUCUUUCUCAGGCUUUCACUUAUUUUUGUGUUCUUCUUUUUCUUAUUUUGUUGUGUCAAAGACAGGAGAGAAUUCGACAGUCUGCCCACGGCAGUUUUCUCCUCUUUGCCUAACCACGAAGAUCAUCAAACGCACUUCUUCUGUUCUCCUGGCUGCCUCAAAUGACUAAUUCUGAUAAAGUAAAAAAUGCAGCGUAAACCAUGUGCCUUUUUAGAGCGUCGUCAUAUUUUCUUUCGAAAUGUGGAAAUUGAGAUUUUUCUGUUGUGGGAUGAAAGAUCUUGGAACGAGGGUUCGGGUUGUUUUGGUUUCGAAAAUCCCCUAAAACACUCAAAUCUGAACAUGGUUAAAUUAUCUCUAAAUUGUACAUUUCGUUGGCUAAUUUUAUAGAAAUAUCUAAACAUGCUUUAGUGAGGUAUAAUAGGUUUCUUCUAGAGAUCUAAAGAAAUACAGUUAUUUGCACUUGUUGUUUACAUUCUUUUUUUUCUCCCUUAAAUGAUAAAUUUAGAAUUAUUGUGCCAACUUUAAUUUGGAGACACAUUUGUCUUGUAGUUGUUUUUAUAUAAAUAAUCCUGAAGUCAUUUUGAAACUGAUGGUUUAGGUGAUAUUAUAGACACACAAGGGGAAAUUUGCCUCUUGAGCAUGUUCUCACCCACUCAGUUUCGUAGGAAAAUCUUUAACCUUUUCAGCAACAACGAAUGCCCAUCAAAAAGUCUGAGAGAGAGAGAGAGCGAGAGAGAGAGAGAGAGAGAGCGAUGUCUGUUUUUCAGGCCACGCGUGUUUUGAGACAGACAUCUUAAGGACAGCAUUUGUGAUAUUCAUUUCGGUUAUGACUCAGUUUUCUCUCAUUUGAAACUACAGAUUUUACGAAGAUUCACGGACUGAUUGAAUAUUUCUUUCAUGAAAAUUCAUUUCGAAGUGUCAAAUUGGGACGGCGCACAGCUGAAAUUUGUCGAAGACAUGUAUUUCAGAGAUUCCAAAGCUAAUUUCAGUGAAGUUGCUACAUGAGUAAUUUAUUUGAGAAUGUGUUAUACUGGUUUUAAAUUUGAGCACUUGAAAUGUUAGGUUUAAUAUUAUUUAUUUGAUUUGAUACAAUCCAUCUAAAUCAGUAUAGAUACAAUCACUUAAUAAUAUGUUUAUCUUUUAUCUUAUUUAAGAUGUGUAUUUCAGAGCAACUCUACAGAAUUAAUGGAGACCUCAUGCACAUGUUAAACUUUUUAUAUGUGACCCGUUAAAAUCAGAGAGAUUUCUAAUUCUGGUUAUGUUAAUAAACCUGCCUGAUUUCUAAACAACAUCAUUUAAAACACACAGUCUAAAUGCAUCAUGCAUUUUCUUUUAAAGCCCUAUUUAUAUUCAGGCUAGAGUAGGCCUCAUGUUUUUGACCUUUUUGUCACCUGAAGGUCACAUGAAUAUAUUCAGCAAUAUAUUGAGAUUGAGAUUUUCAGAAUAAAUUGAAUUGAUGAAUUUGUUGUUUUCUCAUGAACUGUCUCCUCACACACGCACACAGAUAUUAGCCUCUCACUUCCUGUUUAAACUUUUGUUUACCAUUUGAAGGUGCUAUUUUUAACCCUCUCAGCAGCGGCCGUUCAGACACUUUCUUAUGUGCUGUUUCUCUCCUUGUUGAUGUUUUUUGCAUUGAAUAAAACAAAUGUAAAUUCUCAUGCUCCCUUUGACAAAUACUCUUUGACCUCAAUUGAGAGAAAAACACACCGCCUCUGAAGUCUGUCAGCUCCCACACGACCUCUAAAAGUGACUGUAGACGGUCUGAAUAAUAAUUCCUGUAACUUUAUCAGAAGCACAAUGAGCUGAUAAAUAAUUUGAAAGAAAAUAGAUUGCGAUCUGCUCAGUGUUCCUUAAUGCAGCACGUCAGAGAGAAUAGUGUUUGGUGAAUUAACGGCGUGAAUGCGAUGAGAAACCGCGUGUUGUCUUUCUCACUGUCUGACUAACUCCUGUAGUGCUUUGUGGUGAGUUUUAUUCAGAUACUGCACGAAUUUGACUCUAAGAUUUAGUGUAAACUUGACUUUGUCUUCAUUGUGUUGUAACCUCUCCUUCUCUGUCUCAUCCAGAUGAUUAAGCGCAAAUUUGUGAUUGAUAUCUGGCAGGAACCUUUGUGCAUGAAGAAAUUUCUCGCCUACCAUCCACCUACGGGACCGGUGCUUUUUCACACAGCUCGUCUUUUUUUCCUCGGCUCACGCUGGAGAUGGUUACUAAUCACUGUUUCCUAAUUUGGAACUCAUUUAUCAACUGGCCUAGAGUAAUAGAUGUGAGAUAAAGCCGUCUGUGCUUGUGUCAGCAUGUGAUACACGCAUACAUGCGACACACAUCACGUUAUGAGAGCUCAGCAAAGACUUGUUUGCCUAUAUUCCCCUCGAGUGUCUGGUGUCUCGGCCAUAAAGCUGCAUAUUUGCUCUUACAUCAUCUAAAGCACAAAUAGCAUGGCAGUUAUUAAAGGUGAAGUGCAUCUUCAGAGCUAAAGGUUACGUAUUUGCGAUGACGACCAUUUUAGGAUGUUUUUGAAUUUUCACACCCUACGGUAUAUGUGUUAUGCAUUCUUACUGGCAUAUGCAAUUGUUUUAUAUGUUGAAAAAGGCUUUUCGUCUCCUAAGAUUAGAGAUAUACAAUGUACACUACAAUUCAAAAGAAAUUCAUACUUUUAUUCAUGCAUUAAAUGCGUUAAAUUGAUCAAAAGUGACAGUAAAGACAUUUAUAAUUGUACAUUUAAAAAAAAAUGCUGUGGUUUUGAGCUUUCUAUUCAUCACAGUAUCCUGAAACACAAAAGAUAUGAAGCAGCACAUUUGUUUUCACCAUUGACACUGAAGACUAGAGUAAUGAUGCUGAAAAUUCAGCUUUGAUCACAGGAAUAAAUGACAUUUUAAAGUGUAUUCAAAUAGAAAAUUUAAAUUUUAAAUUCUAAUAAUAUUUCAUAAUUUCUGAUCACAUUUUCGAUCGCAUUUUUGAACAACAUAAUGUAGUCAAUGUGAUACAAGGGGGUUUAAAAUUUGCAUUUAUAUUUUCAGUUCAUGCUUUCUCAUACAUUUAUUUUAUUUUUUUUAAAAGGUUGCCCUUUCAUGUCACAUCUGUUACAAUAUUGUAUUUUUCAGCAUUAAAGGAAGGACCAAUCCAUGACUGAAUAAGCCAUUGUCUCACAUAAUUAAAAACAACAAUAAAUCAAAAUGCAUGUGCUGAAAUUCUGACAAUUUUGCAUUCGCUUAUUUUUUUAAAUAAAAAUAUUUAUAUUAGGUCAUCUAAUGCACCGAAUGAAUGCUCAAAAGCACCAGUAAAUAUACAUGAUUAAUGAAAACUCCUAAACCCAUAAGAGUAGCGUUUUAAAAUGUCUCUCUUUACAGCAUUCGUCAGCGCAGGCCGAAACCGAGAGGCUUGUUUGCACUAGGAUCUUUAAAGAAUAACUACGAGGAGAAAUGGAGACAUUAAUCUCACUCAGGCAUCAAUUAAGAGGUAAAAGACUCACUCGCCAGUAACCUGCGGAGUUGUGUGAAUAUUUAAUAGACCGGGACGCCAUGUUGUUGAAGGGUGUGAGUGCUGGUGUCAGGAAUUUGUUUUUUAUGGGACAUAAGUGCAUUGUGCUCAUAUUGCAGUAAACCUCUUGCUGAUACGGUGGUAUAAACAAAAUCAGAUUCAAAAGUGAUGUGCGAUAUUCAAUCAAGCACAUGUUUAAUCAAUGUGUUGCUUUGACAUUUCCCAUUUCCUGUAAUUAUGUAAUUCUGAGUGGAAAUUGUUUCUACACCAAAUUUUUAUUUUGAUUAAAGUUUAUGUCUGUAAUAUGUUCUAUAGCAAACAGGGGUUUUGUGUGAUGGCUAACUAAAUUGUGUAUCAGCAUCCAAGAUGCAUCUGUUUUAUAACACUUCUGUGAUACUACUUUGAAUCGGCCCACAUGAAGUUGUGUAUAUUGUGUUUGGUCUGGCUGCAUGUGGACAUAGUCUUUGUGUGGGCCAGUGACUCACUGUGUGUGUGUAAGUAUCUAGGCACACUCGGCCACAGUGUCAGGUUUCCCAUCAGGCCCUGAGAGAGCUUUUCUGGUUGUUAUCUCUUUAGUCACGAGCAGCGCCAUCCCCUCCAGCGCUGACAGAGAGACGGGUGCGAGCCUUCCUCACGCCGCUCUCAUUCUACACUCUUACUUCACUAAUUGUUUUGUGAGCAAAGACUGAAUUAGCACAAGAUCAAGGUUAUUGCUCAGACCAUGCUCUUUCAGAACUCGAGACUUAAUAGAGAUUGCAGUGCAUGUUUAAAGGUCUUAAGUUUUUAUUUUUUUCUGAAUAUGAGUAGCAGCUUAGAUCAAUUGGUCUUGGGAGAAAUGUGAGCUCAUAUUGAGAUUUUGAUCACAAUAUUUGCUAUUGUUGCAAAACUGAGUACACUUUAAGAUGACUGGGGCCCUUUUUUCAGGACAAACAAAAGAAGCACACAAAAAUGUCUCCAUUUGUUCAACUAUUUAAUCUCACUGUGGUGUAGAAGAAAAUAUCGCAUUGUACUUUUUUAAUUUUGGAUAGACUCUUUUUCUCUUAAAUGUGAAUAUGUUUGUAUGUAUGUAUUGAUUUUUUUUAAAUCAAUUAAAUGUAUUUAUUUUUAUUAAUACAGUUUUAUUUAUUUUCAUUGUCUGUUUUAAUUAUUUUCAUUUCUUUUUAAAUUAUUUAUAUAAAUGUUUACAUUUAUAAGAAUUUAUAUUUAUUGUGAUAGUGUGUUUUACUUGAAUCAGAGUCUUUUCUGUGAAAUCUCUCAGCCUUGUGUCAUCGUGUAUCAUGUAUUCUUCAAGGAUGUGGGCUUUGAUACGUUUCUCAGCCAUUAACCAACAAAGUUCUUGAUCAAUGACUUUGUAGAGGGGGGACUAACACAAGAUCAUGUGGUUGAAGUUGAGAGGGAGACAGCCGCCAUGCACAAUGCAAAUUAAACACUGUGUGGGUUAAUAUGUAUUUGUUUUUGACAUCAUUUUCUAGCACAGGUUGUACCGCUGCUUUUCCGUUGAAUCGCGAUUGCCGCAAACUAUUUGUUUUUGCUGCCUUCAUUAUUGAAAAAAAGUGUGAUGUGAUUUUUGAAAAACUGUUUGAUGCAGAUGUGUUCAGACAGUGUUGUUUUUCUCUGUAGGAAAAACAAUUCCAGUCUGUAGUGUUUAAUAGCUGCAUGGUUUCGCUGUAAUAAAGAUCAAAAUGAGACUUUUUAGCAUUCAUGUUGUGAUCUUCCAAAAAAAAAAUAAAUAAAUAAAUAAAUAAAUAAAAGUGUACUUUAUAGUUUCAGAAUGGUACUUUUUUUCAGAGCUCUUAAUAGGAAACAUCUUACUAUAUGACAUAAAAUGUAAAUAUUGACUAUUUAAAGCAUGACUUUGAAAGAGCAAAUUCUUUCAAAAAGAUUUUUCUCAAGUCAUUUAACUUUUUUGUGCUGAGGUUAACUAGAUUAUCAUCUCAAAGCCCUAAUCAUUUUUUAUGAAAAUCCUAGUCAUAAAACAUGUCAGGUGGCAUUAAUUCUAUACAUGCUGACGUGACAUACUAUAUUAUAUUGCUGAAAACCGAACAUGUGCACAUGCAUGGUUUAAUUUGAAUGAUCACACUGGUCAAAUAUUGUAUGUUCUUUCCCAACUUCCAAAUGUUCAAAAACAUUGUACUUAUGUUCCCAUUAAGUUCUGAAAAUGUUACGUCUGAAUUUCUCUUGAACAUUCAAAAACUAAGUGAACAUUCCAUUUUAGAAUUUUGCAAACAUUAUAAGAAUGUUACUUUUGAACCUUUUGAAACAUUUAAAAAAAACCAUAAGAUGAAUGUCCAGCUAAAAUUUUUUUUUUUUUAAUGUUCCGUGAACAAUAGAAUUUUUCUAUGCUAAUGUUUUGAAAACACUAUUAAAUAUGAAACUCUCCGGAUGACAAAAAAUAUGUCCGAAGAACGUUUUUGCUAAGGUUUCAUUAAGUAAAAUUUUUACUUUACUUAUACUUAUAUGACCAUUAAAUGAGCAUGCAAACAUUAUGGGACUGUUAUUUUUAACAAGUAACAUUUCAAAAGCAUUAGAUCACCGUCCGACUAAAGCAUUUCGGAAAUAAGAUGUUCCGUGAAUCAUAUAGAUGUUGUUGUUUUGUUCUUUUAACACUGGAAGAGCGUUUGUUCAUAACUUUGAGAGAGCCUUGCGAGAACGUUAACCAAAGCUCAGAGAGCGUUUCUUGUUUUUGACCUUUAAAAGCAAACAAGAUCAACUCUAUUUCUAAAAGUCUAAUCCGUGGCGGUCAUUAUGUGUGUAAUGAAGUCCGCCCGCUCGCUCUGGGAACAAAGAGACUUCUCUCACUCAUGACUCUGUGGAUCGGGGAGGAGGGGGUGGAAAAGAAAACACAAAAAAAGCAGAAACGGGGGCUGUUGAGGGCACAGCCUCAGGCCCUGAAACCUCAGCCCUGCUAUUACUGCACGUCUGCAGAGAAACGCUCACAGACAGGUGCCGCAGCCCGCGGCUCUCCUCUCUCUCCUGACGUUUACUUCAGUCGUUGUGAUUCUGGAAGUUAACUGAAGUUUGUGUGCUUUUGUGCAGGUCACGGCGAGGAGAGACUGUCGUCCGGCAGAAUGGCGUCAGACGUGGGCCGCAGGACUUGAGGUCAGCCGUUCACUCAGCGCACAGUGUUUAUUCUGCCUUCAGGUCCUCCUGGGAAGUUCCUACUUAAGAUUUCGGAAGUCAUAAUUAUGAUGUGAAGUGAAUUUGCUUGAAAUAAUACGGAUGAGUUGAGCAUAUUUAUGUGUGUCUUUAACCCAGCUAAAAAGGGAACGUUCACAGAACUGUUAAUACAAUGUUCAUUAAGAGUUAUCUGGUCUUUUAUAAAUUUCCCAAAAUUUUAGCACAAAAUAUUAUUAUAAAUCUUUCAUGGAAUGUUUAUAAUUUCUGAAAAAUCAAAUGUUUUCUUUUUAAAUGUUUAUUGGUUUUGGAAUGUUCAGAGAAUGUUUUGAUCAUGUUUGCAAAAUUAUCAAAUUAUAAAACACAUUAAAAAGCACAUUUUGAAAGCGUUGGAUGUUUUGAAUGUUCACACAGUGUUAUAACUUAAUGGGAACAUUAUCAAAACAUUCUUUGAACUUUUUUGUUUGCUGGGAACUUGAAAAGCAUUUUUAGUUCUAGUGCAACAAAAUUAAGAGCAAAUGAUGCACAUUAGUUGUGAUUUAAGCUUUAUGUAUUUUAUUAACCUUGUGUAACAGGUCAUAACGAUUGAUUUUUUUUUCUUUUUUCUUUAUCACAAAAUGUUUACAAGUUUUAAGAUUUACAUUAAAUCAACCUU
Molecule: long non-coding RNA, 10558 nt
Organism: Cyprinus carpio carpio
Lineage: Eukaryota; Metazoa; Chordata; Actinopteri; Cypriniformes; Cyprinidae
Source: Ensembl